UACGGAGGGUGCAAACGUUGCUCGGAAUCAUUGGGCGUAAAGCGCACGUAGGCGGUUUUUCAAGUUGGAUGUGAAAGCCCUGGGCUCAACCCAGGAAGUGCAUUCAAAACUGUGAGACUUGAGUUCCGGAGGGGCCCAGAGAAUUCCCGGUGUAGAGGUGAAAUUCGUAGAUAUCGGGAGGAAUACCAGUGGCGAAGGCGGUUCUCUGGGCAUUACCUGACGCUGAGGAGCGAAAGUGUGGGGAGCGAACAGG
This 253-nucleotide ribosomal RNA is filed under the name uncultured bacterium. RNAcentral's name for it is "partial 16S ribosomal RNA". It matches the Rfam family "Bacterial small subunit ribosomal RNA", at positions 524 to 776 of the family's 1533-position model. The record is from RNAcentral.